RNAcentral lists this ribosomal RNA (253 nucleotides) under uncultured bacterium. RNAcentral's name for it is "partial 16S ribosomal RNA". It matches the Rfam family "Bacterial small subunit ribosomal RNA", at positions 524 to 776 of the family's 1533-position model. The record is from RNAcentral.
UACGGGGGGAGCAAGCGUUGUUCGGAUUUACUGGGCGUAAAGGGCGCGUAGGCGGCGCAACAAGUCACUUGUGAAAUCUCCGGGCUUAACCCGGAGCGGCCAAGUGAUACUGUCGUGCUAGAGUGCGGAAGGGGCUACUGGAAUUCUCGGUGUAGCGGUGAAAUGCGUAGAUAUCAGGAGGAACACCGGUGGCGAAGGCGGUUAGCUGGGCAGUUGCUGACACUGAGGCGCGACAGCGUGGGGAGCAAACAGG